This 516-nucleotide long non-coding RNA is filed under the name Rattus norvegicus (Norway rat). RNAcentral's name for it is "long non-coding RNA NONRATT028212". The record is from RNAcentral. Lineage: Eukaryota; Metazoa; Chordata; Mammalia; Rodentia; Muridae.
ACCUAGUCGGCGGGAAGAACCUGCUUGUGUCUCCCGAAGCUCCCCUCGGAAACCCGCAGAUAGCGGGGCAGUUGAUGGAUGCUUGGAAGCUGGCGUGCUUUUUCGGAAAUGUUUUGCCACCUGAGGCCUUGGAGGAGGUUCUGCCUGAGGAAGGUCCUCCCUCCUUGGCUUCACUACUCUCGAGCUUUAUCAGGGGCAGAAGCCAUCAAUGCCUUGAGGCCUUUCUACUUUGCAGUUCAUCCUGAUUUCUUUGGACAGCACCCCAGGGAAAGGUGAAUGCAGGCCCAUAAAGUCUUCUCACUCUUCUGGCCGUUACCACGCAGCUCUGGCUCACCAAAACCUUGCCUUCUGCUGAGGACAGUCAAGGCUCCAAAUGCUUGUAGCAUCCUACUCCAAGUCCAGGAUUUCACACUGGCACCCACUGGUGUGGUUCUUUUCCUUUUGGUACUGUAAUUUUAAACUGUGGGCUAUUAAUAGAUUUCAAAAUUCACAGAUUAAAGUUCGCGUUAAAAUCUC